GCAUGGCUGAAUACUGUGUUCUUUAGUCAGUAAUUUACACAGCCAGACACCAUGCAAAAGUAAAGUCUUCCUUUGCAAUGAUCGGUAUGCUGUGUUUUAUGGUAUAUCAUCUUGAAAAGUGAGUACAAAG
Peromyscus maniculatus bairdii (prairie deer mouse) is the source of this 130-nucleotide small nucleolar RNA. Ensembl annotates it as small nucleolar RNA, H/ACA box 15. Its record names the gene Snora15. The record is from Ensembl. NCBI's taxonomy places the organism in Eukaryota, Metazoa, Chordata, Mammalia, Rodentia, Cricetidae.